AGCUUAGAGUUUGAUCAUGGCUCAGAUUGAACGCUGGCGGCAGGCCUAACACAUGCAAGUCGAGCGGCAGCGGAAAGAAGCUUGCUUCUUUGCCGGCGAGCGGCGGACGGGUGAGUAAUGUCUGGGGAUCUGCCCGAUGGAGGGGGAUAACCACUGGAAACGGUGGCUAAUACCGCAUAACGUCGCAAGACCAAAGUGGGGGACCUUCGGGCCUCACGCCAUAGGAUGAACCCAGAUGGGAUUAGCUAGUAGGUGGGGUAAAGGCUCACCUAGGCGACGAUCUCUAGCUGGUCUGAGAGGAUGACCAGCCACACUGGAACUGAGACACGGUCCAGACUCCUACGGGAGGCAGCAGUGGGGAAUAUUGCACAAUGGGGGAAACCCUGAUGCAGCCAUGUCGCGUGUAUGAAGAAGGCCUUCGGGUUGUAAAGUACUUUCAGCGGGGAGGAAGGCUGAUGGCUUAAUACGCCAUCAGAUUGACGUUACCCGCAGAAGAAGCACCGGCUAACUCCGUGCCAGCAGCCGCGGUAAUACGGAGGGUGCAAGCGUUAAUCGGAAUUACUGGGCGUAAAGCGCACGCAGGCGGUCUGUUAAGUCAGAUGUGAAAUCCCCGGGCUCAACCCGGGAACUGCAUUUGAAACUGGCAGGCUUGAGUCUCGUAGAGGGGGGUAGAAUUCCAGGUGUAGCGGUGAAAUGCGUAGAGAUCUGGAGGAAUACCGGUGGCGAAGGCGGCCCCCUGGACGAAGACUGACGCUCAGGUGCGAAAGCGUGGGGAGCAAACGGGAUUAGAUACCCUGGUAGUCCACGCCGUAAACGAUGUCUACUUGGGAGGCUGUGGUCAUGAACCGUGGCUUCGGGAGCUAACGCGUUAAGUAGACCGCCCUGGGGGAGUACGGCCCGCAAGGUUAAAACUCAAAUGAAUUUGACGGGGGCCCGCACAAGCGGUGGANGCAUGGGGGUUUAAUUCGAUGCAACGCGAAGAACCCUUACCUGGGUCUUGACAUCCACAGAAUUCUCCGGAAAAACGGAAAAUUGCCUUNCGGGAACU
RNAcentral lists this ribosomal RNA (1048 nucleotides) under uncultured bacterium. Its description in RNAcentral is "bacterial SSU rRNA". It matches the Rfam family "Bacterial small subunit ribosomal RNA", at positions 1 to 1028 of the family's 1533-position model. The record is from RNAcentral.